UACGUAGGGUGCGAGCGUUAAUCGGAAUUACUGGGCGUAAAGCGUGCGCAGGCGGUUUUGUAAGCCAGAUGUGAAAUCCCCGGGCUUAACCUGGGAAUGGCAUUUGGGACUGCAAGGCUGGAGUGCGGCAGAGGAGACUGGAAUUCCUGGUGUAGCAGUGAAAUGCGUAGAUAUCGGGAGGAACACCAAUGGCGAAGGCAGCUCGCUGGGACGGUACUGACGCUGAGGCGCGAAAGCGUGGGGAGCAAACAGG
Molecule: ribosomal RNA, 253 nt
Filed under: uncultured bacterium
Lineage: Bacteria
Description: partial 16S ribosomal RNA
Rfam family: Bacterial small subunit ribosomal RNA
Source: RNAcentral